GAUGAAGAACGCAGCGAAAUGCGAUACGUAAUGUGAAUUGCAGAAUUCAGUGAAUCAUCGAAUCUUUGAACGCAUAUUGCGCUCUUUGGUAUUCCGAAGAGCAUGCUUGUUUGAGUAUCAGUAAACACCUCAAAAGAUUUUCAUUUUUGAAAUGAUUUGGACUUGAGCAAUCCCAACACCAGGCUUCACGGAUCGGCGGAGGGUUGCUUGAAAUGCAGGUGCAGCUGGACAUUCUCCUGAGCUAAAAGCAUAUCUAUUUAGUCCCGUCAAACGGAUUAUUACUUUUGCUGCAGCUAACAUAAAGGGAGUUUGACCAUUUUGGCUGACUGAUGCAGGAUUUCACAAGGGUCGGUAAAACGAUUUUUGUAAAACUCGAUCUCAAAUCAAGUAAGACUACCCGCUGAACUUAAGCAUAUCAAUAAGCGGAGGA
RNAcentral lists this unclassified non-coding RNA (430 nucleotides) under soil metagenome. RNAcentral describes it as "partial contains 5.8S ribosomal RNA, internal transcribed spacer 2, and large subunit ribosomal RNA". The stretch from base 1 to 120 matches the Rfam family "5.8S ribosomal RNA", at positions 35 to 154 of the family's 154-position model. The record is from RNAcentral.